Homo sapiens (human) is the source of this 617-nucleotide long non-coding RNA. RefSeq lists it as uncharacterized. The transcript has 3 exons. Lineage: Eukaryota; Metazoa; Chordata; Mammalia; Primates; Hominidae. The record is from RefSeq and is a predicted model, not a curated record.
UGAAUAAGUACUCAUGCCUGGGUCCCACCCCUGGAAAUUCUGGUUUAACUGGAAUCAGGGCCCAGACAUGAGUAAUUUUAAAAGAUGAUUCCAGUGCACAGCCAGGGUUAAGCACCACUGAUUUGGUUUAAUAGAAGCUGAAGUGAUGUCCCAUAUCUACUUGGCUGGGAAAUGCCACAAGACUAGGCCGUGCAACAUUUCCGCAGUGCUCCUCGCUACAAAGACAUUCCCCUAAGGCUGGUGGGCAACUCAACACUCAGCUCAGUACGUGGUCAGCUCGUCCUCCAUAGGAGCCUUAUGCCUUGGUGAGGAGAUCUCUGAAGAAAUUGCUGAUGAAAGUCCAACAGGCUCUUCCAGUUUGUCUGGUCGGUCACAUUUGCUGAAACCUGGAGGAAUUGUUAGUGGAAGCUCAACAGGCCUGACUCAGUCUGACUGUCCAUUCUUCUGGAAGCUGCAGAGAAAAGAAACCUGGAAACCUUAUAUGCUGACAAAAAGGGACACAAUUGGAUAUGAUGGUUAUUUUACCAAGGUUUUGAAAUGUCGUGCUUUCAAAUAUAAACAGACUGCUUUAAGGAAUCGAAGUUGACUUAUAGAGCCAAUAAAAGCCCUGCAGGAAA